UGGGUAACCUGCCUCAAAGAGGGGAAUAGCCUCCCGAAAGGGAGAUUAAUACCGCAUAAUAUGUUUAAGUCGCAUGACUUUAACAUCAAAGGAUUUUCUUUUAGAACUUCCACUUUGAGAUGGACCCGCGGCGCAUUAGCUAGUUGGUGAGGUAACGGCUCACCAAGGCAACGAUGCGUAGCCGACCUGAGAGGGUGAUCGGCCACAUUGGAACUGAGACACGGUCCAGCUCC
RNAcentral lists this ribosomal RNA (233 nucleotides) under uncultured bacterium. RNAcentral's name for it is "partial 16S ribosomal RNA". It matches the Rfam family "Bacterial small subunit ribosomal RNA", at positions 118 to 338 of the family's 1533-position model. The record is from RNAcentral.